Rhinopithecus bieti (black snub-nosed monkey) is the source of this 4041-nucleotide long non-coding RNA. The record is from Ensembl. NCBI's taxonomy places the organism in Eukaryota, Metazoa, Chordata, Mammalia, Primates, Cercopithecidae.
AGAACAGUUAUUUGUAGGCUGUGGGUCCUGGAGCAAAGCACCCUCUUUCCUCCUGUGUCCUCCACAGAGCUUCAUUCAGGUGAGAUGGGUUCCUGGCACAUUCCUGUGGAUCCCUUGGGACUGAGCUCAGGUAUUUCCUGUAGGAAGCCUUUGUUAAAACCCAUCCAUGGCAGACCCAGUGAGACACCCUCUUCUCGCCUUGCCUUGGUACUUUGUCCGUUCUGGAUGGCUGCUGUGUUGCACUGUGACCUGUUCAGUCUGUCUCCUUCAGUGAAUCUCCAGGACAUGGAAGCUUGUAUCUUUCUGCUUCCAGUGCUGGGCACAACGCACAUAGUAGGUGCUUAGUAAAUGUGUGGUGAAUGGAUUCACCAAAUCCUUAAAGCGAACACCAGAAUAUUGAGGAAGAAAGAGAAUGGGAAGGACCCAUGCAGCCUUGGAGUGGGAGUGCCGGUGGGAGGACUGGCAGUUCUCAGGGUCUGCGCUCCUGUCUUCCGUCUUCACCUCCCCUCCGUUCCUCCUCUUCCAGCCUCAGCCGUCACUUCUGCAGUGAGAUUGUCCUUGCCAAGCACAGCAGUGGCCUUCUUGUCAAGUAUAGCAGAAACCUUUACCCUUCACCUGACUGGAUUCCUGGACUGCAUUUGGGCAGCCCAAUGGAUCCAAUGGUGAUGAAGAGACCUCAGUUGUAUGGCAUGGGCAGUAACCCUCAUUCUCAGCCUCAGCAGAGCAGUCCGUACCCAGGAGGUUCCUACGGCCCCCCAGGCCCACAGCGAUAUCCAAUUGGCAUCCAGGGUCGGACUCCCGGGGCCAUGGGCGGAAUGCAGUACCCUCAGCAGCAGAUGCCUCCUCAGUAUGGACAGCAAGGUGUGAGUGGUUACUGCCAACAGGGCCAACAGCCAUAUUACAGCCAGCAGCCGCAGCCCCCGCACCUCCCGCCCCAGGCGCAGUAUCUGCCGUCCCAGUCCCAGCAGAGGUACCAGCCGCAGCAGGACAUGUCUCAGGAAGGCUAUGGAACUAGAUCUCAACCUCCUCUGGCCCCCGGAAAACCUAACCAUGAAGACUUGAACUUAAUACAACAAGAAAGACCAUCAAGUUUACCAGAUCUGUCUGGCUCCAUUGAUGACCUCCCCACGGGAACGGAAGCAACUUUGAGCUCAGCAGUCAGUGCAUCCGGGUCCACGAGCAGCCAAGGGGAUCAGAGCAACCCGGCGCAGUCGCCUUUCUCCCCACAUGCGUCGCCUCAUCUCUCCAGCAUCCCGGGGGGCCCAUCUCCCUCUCCUGUUGGCUCUCCUGUAGGAAGCAACCAGUCUCGAUCUGGCCCAAUCUCUCCUGCAAGUAUCCCAGACUUCAACAAGAACCACAACCAGUUUAAUCCACAUGGACCUAAGAAUAGGUGUGUCUUACCCUUGCAACUGUCACAGAGUUUAUGAAGAGGACCCAAGUACUUGCCACUGAACACCUCAUGAUCUCCGUGUAUUGAGGAUAACUGGCCAAUAAAAUUGUCCAAAUGUCCAUGGUUUAACAUGUCUUUUCAUGUUAAUUAUAAAAAGUCAAUCUUCUUGAAUUACUAAUGGAAGAAUAUAAUUUAGGACAUUGCCCUCUAUAUAGUGAGUACUCUUUUUUUUUUUUUUAAACCUCAUUUGGUACAUUCAAGCUAACUGUCUCCAAUUUGCCCGCGAACUUGUAAGACAGAUAAAUGCGUAUUCUAGACAGUGCUCUCUCUUUAGUUCCUUCUUUAUUCACUUUUGCCCAGAGUCAGCUAAUGUAGGAAAAUUGGAAGAUGGAAUGGAUCUGAGGCACUAAAACUGAAAUCAGGUAGUGUCUGUCAUUCAGACUCCAGAUUUGCUAUCUUGACUAAUCAUGUCAAUAUUCCAUGUCAGGUAACUAAAUCCAUCUUAGGUUAGUUGACUUUUUAGCUGUAAUGAUGUGAAAGGAAGGAGUGAUUUUUCUAUGGCCACUACUACUUUUGAAACAUGGAAUUUCUGAAUAUUUCUAUAUCUAUUAGUAUUACUAAUACUGGAAAUAAUGCAGUAUUAUUUGAAAAGGGGUGAGUGGUUUGUUUGCCAGAAUUGGUUGUGGUUCAGAGUUAGUGUUCUUGUGAGUUUCUGUAAUUGUAUACUGUAGUAAUGUGGAAAGGAAUUAUUCCCAGGGAAUGUUCGCCUCAAUAAAGGAUUAAUGUGGGAAUCCUAUUCACCUCAUGUUUAUUCUCUACCAUCCCUACACAAAAGUAAUAGAGUAUAAUUUAUGCAGUGCAUCUGAUCAGUAGUUGAUCUGAUCUGUUGGUUUGUUUCUGAUCCGAAAGAGAUGGAAAAAUAAAACUACAAGUAAUCAUUUAUCUAAACAUUUACCUGCUAAAUGUACUUACCAUUUAAGUCUUAGACCUUUGCCUGCAUUAAGUGCUAAGGAACCCAGUGCAUUCUUACAUCUAGAUAGGAGAGAGCAUAAAGCAACUUUUGUUACUGACAUUUAUUUAUGAAGUCUUCCCCUUUAAAUAUGGAAGAAUGUGAGAUGUAUAUAUCAGUGCUGUUGUUACUAAAUACUCAUCUGUAUUGGCUUUUUCAGCAAGUAUUCCUCCUGAGUGUUUUCUUCUUUUCUUUUCUUUUUUUUCUUUUUUUGUUUUUUUGAGAUGGAGUCUUGCUCCAUAGCCCAGGCUGGAGCGCAGUGGCGCAGUCUCAGCUCACUGCAAGCUCUGCCUCCCGGGUUCGAGCGAUUCUCCUGCCUCAGCCUCCUGAGUGGCUGGGAUUACAGGCACCCGCCACCACUCCCACCUAAUUUUCAUGUAUUUUUAGUAGAGACGGGGUAUCACCAUAUUGGCCAGGCUGACCUCAAACUCCUGACCUUGUGUUCCACCCGCCUCGGCCUCCCAAAGUACUGGGAUUACAGGCGUGAGCCACUGCACCUGGCCUUCCUGAAUGUUUCUUUACUGAUAUUAUCAUUUAGAACAGGGAUCACAAACUACAGCCUGAGGACCAAAUUCAGACAACCGCCUGUUUUGGCAAGUGAAGUUUUAUUUAUGCUAUUUUGUUUUCAUAUUGUCUGUGGCUGCUUUUGAACUACAACAGCUGAGGUGAGUAGUGCAACAUAAAACAUAUGGUCUGUGAAACCUAAAAUGUUUACUAUCUGGCAGUUUACAGAAAAAGUUUGCCUAAUUCUCAUCUAGAAUAGUAAGAUAAAACUGCAUGAUUACAGAUGAGUUAUAAAUAUCUAAUUAUCUAUUAAUCUGAGCUUGGUUCCUGGAAUCAUUAGCUAUACAUUUAUUUUUUUUUCAACAAAUACUUAUUGAAUGGUUACUAUAUGCCUGGUUCAAGAGAUAUAAUAUGGCAGGGAACCAAACAGAUGGAAUUUUCUGUCUGUAUGGAAUGUAUAUUGUAGUCAGAUGAGACAAACAAAGAACAGAAUUAAAUUAAGAACUAUGAGAAAUGUUAAUACUGUGUCCACUUGUAAAAAAUCAUAGAACUUGGCACUUGUUAGUACUGACUGCCCCACCAUCUUAUUCUAUGAAGUAUGCUAAGCUAUAAUAUAUUCAUGCCUCAGUCCAUCCACUGUACAUUAUACAUUACUGAAUGUGUGCUAAUUUACCAAAAUAUAUGUAUUGGCCACUUUUUCCCAAUUGUGUUAUAUACUAAAAUCCCAGAGUUAUGUUACUUGAAUGUUUGGUACUUAUCUUGAUUUAGUUCUUAAAAGCUAUUUUCAAUUGGAUAAAAUUCUCCCAAAACCUCUCCUAGUAUAAGAUUUUAAAGUAAAUAUUAGCAAACAGAAUCCAACAGUGCAUUAAGAAAAUAAUGUACCAUAAGUGGCAUUUAUUCCAGGAAUGCAAAGUUGGUUCAAUAUUAACAACUGGUGUUUUGUUUUGUUUUGUUUUGUUUUGUUUUGUUUUGUUUUGUUUUGUUUUUUUGGGAGACAGAGUCUUGCUCUCUUGCCCAGGCUGGAGUGCAGUGGCAUGAUCUCAGCUCACUGCAACCUCCGCCUCCCAAGUUCAAGCGAUUCUCCUGCCUCAGCCUCCUUUGUAGCCGGGAUUACAGGAGCCUGCCAUCAUGCCCGGCU